ACCCGGAGCUCCGCGGCCGCCCAGCGCCCGUCCCCGCGCCGCACUCCCCGGCACUCCCCGGCGCUCCCCGCGCCGCGCGCCCCGCACCGGCUGGAGGCCCCGGCCCCCCGGCGUUCCCUCUCCGCGCACCUCCCGGCCCGCGCUAGGUAGCAGGCAAGAGUGUGGUUAUCGUUGGACCAGGAUUCAGGAUCUGACUGAGUAGCUGACUCUUAAUCCAGUUUGUGUUGAUCACCAGGAGGAUCUGGACCUCAGUAUUACCACAUCUAGAGCUAUAAUCACAUCCCUGUUAAGCCUUCCUGAGAUCACACCAAAUGUCCUUGAUGGGAAUUGUAAACAACCCUUACUUCUGGUUUCUAAUGAUAUUCCAGGAAAGGAGCCUAACUAGAGUCAGUGAUAUGCCAACUCCACCUUUGCCUUCCACCAUGUUUGGAAGCUCCCUGAGGCCUCACCAGGAGCAGAUGCUCGUCCCAUGCUUCCUAUAAGCCUGCAGAACUGUGAGCCAUAAUAAACUGUGAAUUAUAAAUUGCCUUUAUAGCAAUGCAAAUGGACCAGUACAGAUGGGAUGCUGGGAAGACAGUUGUUUCCACCUUCAGUAAAGUCCGUGGAACACAGUUGUGACUAUAUUCUAGGCCAGCCAAGAUGCUUGUACUCAGAAAGGAGUGGUCUCAGGACCAUAAGAAAGUGAAAAAAUAAAAAUAAGAAAAUAAAGAAGGGAUUGUCAAUGAAUCAGAAUUCAUCAAGGUCAAAGUCUUAGGAAAUUCCUUCAUGAGGAAGUCUAGGGGGGCUAUGGAAAUGAAAUUUUUAAACAAAUAGGUAUGUGGUGCUGG
This 827-nucleotide long non-coding RNA is filed under the name Homo sapiens (human). Its description in RNAcentral is "non-protein coding RASSF8-AS1:36". Lineage: Eukaryota; Metazoa; Chordata; Mammalia; Primates; Hominidae. The record is from RNAcentral.